UGUUGCUCUGUGAGCAGCACAGGGCUCCCUGUAAUCUGUGGCAUAAGUAGGGGCACAGAAGGCUGUGCUCAGGGGUACUUUCAGUGAAUGAGAAACUACAAUUUGGAGGAAUUUCCAAAGGAGGGAAAAUACAUUCAAAUAUGGAGAGAAACUUUCAGAGCCAGGUGAUAAUCAGCGUACAAAUGCAUACUUAAUUUGCAUUUCAUGCACCUUUAGGUAACUGCAGAACCCAUGGGGACCCUCACUGGGAUAAAAAGGAUCCAGCUCAAUCUCUGCUUACACAGAGGCAGCAGACAAGGCUGGAGAGCUGACUCCCUGCACCACAGGGUCUCAAGGAAAAAUCCAAAGACAUUGCUGAAUGCUAGGAUCCAGCAGUUCCAUUUGUGUGCCUGCAUCUCUGGACCGGCAUGCCAGACACUGGCAUGCUAGACUCCAUUGCAGAAGGGAUGCAACCCACCAGGUGAAAGGCAACCAAACCACCAUGUGGAUUCUUAUGCACGACUUGGAGAAACACACCCUGCAUGCUGUCUGUGUGAUCAGUAAAUUAAAGAAGUUAUACCUGCAAACCUCUCUUGACUCCCAGUUUUAAAAUUUACAAAUAAUGGACCAAAACUCCAGCUAAUGAAAAAUGCAAACCUAGUGCCCAUGAAAGUGAGGCAGUUACUCACAUAGUCAGUUGAUUCAGCUCCUAUGACCACUGACCCAAGACUGCAAGACUUGCCUCACAAAAUAUGUAGAAAAGAAUAUUAUAUUAGCCCAUGAUGGCCAAAGUAUUAAAAUGCUGUAAAUUGUGAGGCCCAGUUACAUAUUCUACAAAAGGAAGUUCUAGGACUUGAUAAUAUAGUUCUUUCUUCUUACUUUCCCACUUACAUUUACCCAGGCAAUAGGUAAACAGCCUACUGAAAACUAGUUUUCCUCAGUCCUUCAGAGAUGUAAUGGUCCUAUUAAGCUCUGUGGAAAAAAUUCAGAGUAUACUGCAUGUAUAUUACAAGCUAAUAAACUUACAAGCACAACAACAUUAACAUUUAUAUAACAGGAGUAGGGCAUUACAUUUAAUAACACAAAAAUGUAAUAAGGUAAGGUGUCAUUACUCAUGGUAAUAUAAACAUUUCCCUAUUUGUCUGUCUAAGGCAAACAUUCAAAGUCCACUGCAAAUGUGGCUACUGACUUCAGUGGGUUUUGAGUAAAAAAGAGCAACAGACAUCCUAGAGACAAUUGUAUUGAAAGGUGUGGAGAAAGCAUUGUACAUGUGGAAGCACUAUAGACAGGUUAUGGUAUAAUAAUAGUCUGGUUCCAAGAGCUUCCUGCUUAAAAUGAAAAUUAUUCUACUAAGAGUGGCUUGGAUCAAGAGAAAGUUAAGAGACAUCUCUAUCCAGUUUUUGCU
This is a long non-coding RNA of Prinia subflava (tawny-flanked prinia), 1384 nucleotides long. RefSeq lists it as uncharacterized. The record is from RefSeq and is a predicted model, not a curated record. The transcript has 3 exons. NCBI's taxonomy places the organism in Eukaryota, Metazoa, Chordata, Aves, Passeriformes, Cisticolidae.